UCUUUUCCAGAAACGAACAGCAACUGUUCCCCCCACCAUUUUCUUCAUUUUUUAGAUCUGCUAGGGUUUCAAAAGGAACCCAUUUCGCCGCCAUCGUCGGACCGCCACCGUAUACGGUGGCCGACGUUCCCAAGUCACCCUUUUUUCGGCCGAUUUGGCUCUCCCUACCUCGUUUUAAAACCCAAAACUCUUAAAAAAUAAAACAACAGACAAUAAACCCUCGGUUUCCUCCUCCAAUCUUAAGAAAGGUAAUGUUUUUUUUCUUCUCUUUUCUUUUUAUUUUCUUUUUUUCUAACAAAAACAAGCAUGAAAGCAAAAUAAUCAAGAAAAAGGAACAACCUUUUUACUAUUUUUUGUAUUUCGAUUUCUAUGGGACCUUUUUUGUAUUGAUUUUUUGAAUAUUCAAGAAUUCCCCCAUUUACAAUCGGUUCCCCCCUUUUUGAAUUUAGAAAAACUGCUUUUUUUGAAUUCGGAAAAAAACCCCCUUUAAUACAUUGUUUCUUCUCGGCUUUAUAGCCGGCUACAAUAUUAGGAAAAUAUUAUUUAUUUUUGUCAUUUUCGUUUGUCUGCUUCUGUCUUGGUGUCUGCUUCAUUUUGCAGGUGUCAGAUGACCCUCAGAGGCGUACGGAGUGGCGAUGACAGAGGCGUGGUGGCCGAGCACACGUGGAGAGGCCGAUGGUUCGGCGGCCACAUGCUUGGGGCUAGGGUUUUUUUACUUGUUUAGCAGAAAAUAUUUUGUGGGCUAAGUUUUUAUGUUUAUUGGGCUUAUUGGGCUUGCAACUGGGUAAUGGGUUUUGUAAUUGUUUUAUUUGGUUUUUGGGCCCCGGGCAAAAUUU
Molecule: long non-coding RNA, 836 nt
Filed under: Gossypium barbadense (sea-island cotton)
Lineage: Eukaryota; Viridiplantae; Streptophyta; Magnoliopsida; Malvales; Malvaceae
Description: long non-coding RNA (GBAR_LNC003927)
Source: RNAcentral